UGGGGGAUAUUGCACAAUGGGCGAAAGCCUGAUGCAGCGACGCCGCGUGGGGGAUGAAGGCUUUCGGGUUGUAAACCUCUUUCGCUAUCGAACAAGGCCCGCUUAGGGUGGGUUGAGGGUAGGUGGAGAAGAAGCGCCGGCUAACUACGUGCCAGCAGCCGCGGUAAUACGUAGGGCGCGAGCGUUGUCCGGAAUUAUUGGGCGUAAAGGGCUUGUAGGCGGCUUGUUGCGCCUGCUGUGAAAACGCGGGGCUUAACUUCGCGCGUGCAGUGGGUACGGGCAGGCUUGAGUGUGGUAGGGGUGACUGGAAUUCCAGGUGUAGCGGUGGAAUGCGCAGAUAUCUGGAGGAACACCGGUGGCGAAGGCAGGUCACUGGGCCAUUACUGACGCUGAGGAGCGAAAGCAUGGGUAGCGAACAGG
This 420-nucleotide ribosomal RNA is filed under the name bacterium. RNAcentral's name for it is "partial 16S ribosomal RNA". It matches the Rfam family "Bacterial small subunit ribosomal RNA", at positions 355 to 776 of the family's 1533-position model. RNAcentral also lists the same sequence under 1 other name. The record is from RNAcentral.